This 408-nucleotide long non-coding RNA is filed under the name Hordeum vulgare. Its description in RNAcentral is "long non-coding RNA (HVUL_LNC002857)". Lineage: Eukaryota; Viridiplantae; Streptophyta; Magnoliopsida; Poales; Poaceae. The record is from RNAcentral.
UCUGAUUAGGCAAUGGAACUCACAUAAUUUUCCUGAACAUGCAUGACUGGCUCCCCCUAGCGGUUGAAUACAACACAGGAAUCACAAUUUAACUAAUGCUGGGUCUGAUUAGCUAUGGAUAGCUCGUGCAGUUGCAUGCAUGUUACGAGUCCUUCUGGAGUUGUUGGUGAUCGCCGCUGGCCUUCGUGAUGUGUGUUUAUCGCCGCUAUCGGACGCUGUUGUUUGGUCGCCGUCGGUGCCUGCCGCGUUGUGUGAUGACCACCGGUUCAUACUGUGUUGUGUUGCCUCUGUUGGUCGCCGCGUCGUGCUAUGUUGCCGAAACCGUCCUGGUCUCCACGUUUGUGAUCGCACGCCGGUGCGUUUUGUCACCGCCAGCGCACAACCUGAUCUGUUCUGUUCCAUGACUGC